GACGAACGCUGGCGGCGUGCUUAACACAUGCAAGUCGAACGGAAAGGCCCUGCUUUUGUGGGGUGCUCGAGUGGCGAACGGGUGAGUAACACGUGAGUAACCUGCCCUUGACUUUGGGAUAACUUCAGGAAACUGGGGCUAAUACCGGAUAGGAGCUCCUGCUGCAUGGUGGGGGUUGGAAAGUUUCGGCGGUUGGGGAUGGACUCGCGGCUUAUCAGCUUGUUGGUGGGGUAGUGGCUUACCAAGGCUUUGACGGGUAGCCGGCCUGAGAGGGUGACCGGGGACAUUGGUACUACGGGACGGCGCAGAGUCCUACGGGAGGCAGUAGGGGGGAGUAUUGCACAAUGAGCGGAAGCCUGAUGCAGCAACGCCGCGUGCGGGAUGACGGCCUUCGGGUUGUAAACCGCUUUCGCCUGUGACGAAGCGGGAGUGACGGUAAUGGGUAAAGAAGCACCGGCUAACUACGUG
This 468-nucleotide ribosomal RNA is filed under the name uncultured bacterium. Its description in RNAcentral is "partial 16S ribosomal RNA". It matches the Rfam family "Bacterial small subunit ribosomal RNA", at positions 28 to 507 of the family's 1533-position model. The record is from RNAcentral.